CUUAAAAAGCAUAGGUUUUUUUUACUUCAAAAUUCUUACUAUUUUAUAUCACGUGUAUCCCAUGUGUUAAUUCUAGAUAUAAGAUUGUAAGAUUCUGUUUAUAAGACUUCCAUGCCACUUAAAUUGACCAUUGAGCAACUCCUGUUAUUCUAAAAAUACCACAUAACUUAAUUUAACAGAAUUCCUGAAAUCCUAACAUAAAAGAUAUAGAGGGAUUUAAUUUCUGGAAUUGAAAGCGUGCAAAAAGCACAGGGGGUGGGCUCAAACUUAUUGACUAAUCAAUUGGGGGUAUAAGGGUAAUUUCAUAUAGAAAAAGGGUGUUAAAUGGAUGUCUUAUUUCGGACACCACCAAACGUAUCGAAUUUUACCGACUCUGGAAAGCAAGGAAAAAACUGACAUUAUAUGGGUAAAACACCUACUGGCAAGGAGCUAGCUCGCGAGUUACUUAUCGCAAUAUCUAGUUCUGUACCUGAUACUGAUCUGAAUGCAGAACAUGCAUCUAAAAAUAUAGACGCUACAAAUGGUGCUGCAGUAACAAAGACUGAUGGAGCUGAAAAAUAUAGGUCUGAACUGAUCUCUAUAUCCUAUGCCCAGUCUCCUGAUGAUCAAGUGCCCUCGGUUGUGCUUAGGAACCAUGUGGGUUAGUGAGGACUAAAUUGACAUGGGAAAUUUAAUAAAAUAUAGUGUGUAGUGAAUGUUUUGUGAAACUCUUUGUUGUGUUGUAUGAUUUUACACCUAAUGUUGGUUUGCUUUGCACUUAAUUGUCUCCAUGUUACUAUAAACAAGGGAACAUAUAUCUGUACAGACUAUGUUGUGAUUAAAGUGGAAGACAUGUUUUGUUUAUUAGACAA
Long non-coding RNA from Gossypium raimondii (Peruvian cotton), 851 nucleotides. RefSeq lists it as uncharacterized. The transcript has 2 exons. The record is from RefSeq and is a predicted model, not a curated record. Lineage: Eukaryota; Viridiplantae; Streptophyta; Magnoliopsida; Malvales; Malvaceae.